This 82-nucleotide small nuclear RNA is filed under the name Homo sapiens (human). RNAcentral's name for it is "partial ncRNA". The record is from RNAcentral. Lineage: Eukaryota; Metazoa; Chordata; Mammalia; Primates; Hominidae.
AGAGGAUCGCUUGAGCCCAGGAGGCAGAGGUUAUAGUGAGCUGAGACUGCGCCACUGUACUCCAGCCUGGGUGACAACAAGA